RNAcentral lists this ribosomal RNA (247 nucleotides) under uncultured bacterium. RNAcentral's name for it is "partial 16S ribosomal RNA". It matches the Rfam family "Bacterial small subunit ribosomal RNA", at positions 524 to 769 of the family's 1533-position model. The record is from RNAcentral.
UACGGAGGGGCGUAGCGUUGUUCGGAAUUACUGGGCGUAAAGCGCGCGUAGGUGGUUGUGUAAGUUGGAUGUGAAAGCCCCGGGCUUAACCUGGGAACUGCAUUCAAAACUGCACGGCUAGAGUACGGGAGAGGGGGGUAGAAUUCCAGGUGUAGCGGUGAAAUGCGUAGAGAUCUGGAGGAAUACCGAUGGCGAAGGCAGCCCCCUGGCCUGAUACUGACACUGAGGUGCGAAAGCAUGGGGGAGC